RNAcentral lists this ribosomal RNA (468 nucleotides) under uncultured bacterium. RNAcentral's name for it is "partial 16S ribosomal RNA". It matches the Rfam family "Bacterial small subunit ribosomal RNA", at positions 28 to 507 of the family's 1533-position model. The record is from RNAcentral.
GACGAACGCUGGCGGCGUGCUUAACACAUGCAAGUCGAACGGAAAGGCCCUGCUUUUGUGGGGUGCUCGAGUGGCGAACGGGUGAGUAACACGUGAGUAACCUGCCCUUGACUUUGGGAUAACUUCAGGAAACUGGGGCUAAUACCGGAUAGGAGCUCCUGCUGCAUGGUGGGGGUUGGUAAGUUUCGGCGGUUGGGGAUGGACUCGCGGCUUAUCAGCUUGUUGGUGGGGUAGUGGCUUACCAAGGUUUUGACGGGUAGCCGGCCUGAGAGGGUGACCGGCCACAUUGGGACGGAGAUGCGGCCCAGACUCCUACGGGAGGCAGCGGUGGGGAAUAUUGCACAAUGGGCGGAAGCCUGAUGCAGCAACGCCGCGUGCGGGAUGACGGCCUUCGGGUUGUAAACCGCAGUCGCCUGUGACGAAGCGUGAGUGACGGUAAUGGGUGAAGAAGCACCGGCUAACUACGUG